UUUAUGGAGAGUUUGAUCCUGGCUCAGGAUGAACGCUGGCGGCGUGCCUAAUACAUGCAAGUCGAGCGAACGGACGAGAAGCUUGCUUCUCUGAUGUUAGCGGCGGACGGGUGAGUAACACGUGGAUAACCUACCUAUAAGACUGGGAUAACUUCGGGAAACCGGAGCUAAUACCGGAUAAUAUUUUGAACCGCAUGGUUCAAAAGUGAAAGACGGUCUUGCUGUCACUUAUAGAUGGAUCCGCGCUGCAUUAGCUAGUUGGUAAGGUAACGGCUUACCAAGGCAACGAUGCAUAGCCGACCUGAGAGGGUGAUCGGCCACACUGGAACUGAGACACGGUCCAGACUCCUACGGGAGGCAGCAGUAGGGAAUCUUCCGCAAUGGGCGAAAGCCUGACGGAGCAACGCCGCGUGAGUGAUGAAGGUCUUCGGAUCGUAAAACUCUGUUAUUAGGGAAGAACAUAUGUGUAAGUAACUGUGCACAUCUUGACGGUACCUAAUCAGAAAGCCACGGCUAACUACGUGCCAGCAGCCGCGGUAAUACGUAGGUGGCAAGCGUUAUCCGGAAUUAUUGGGCGUAAAGCGCGCGUAGGCGGUUUUUUAAGUCUGAUGUGAAAGCCCACGGCUCAACCGUGGAGGGUCAUUGGAAACUGGAAAACUUGAGUGCAGAAGAGGAAAGUGGAAUUCCAUGUGUAGCGGUGAAAUGCGCAGAGAUAUGGAGGAACACCAGUGGCGAAGGCGACUUUCUGGUCUGUAACUGACGCUGAUGUGCGAAAGCGUGGGGAUCAAACAGGAUUAGAUACCCUGGUAGUCCACGCCGUAAACGAUGAGUGCUAAGU
RNAcentral lists this ribosomal RNA (838 nucleotides) under Staphylococcus aureus. RNAcentral describes it as "bacterial SSU rRNA". It matches the Rfam family "Bacterial small subunit ribosomal RNA", at positions 1 to 821 of the family's 1533-position model. Lineage: Bacteria; Bacillati; Bacillota; Bacilli; Caryophanales; Staphylococcaceae. The record is from RNAcentral.